RNAcentral lists this ribosomal RNA (497 nucleotides) under uncultured bacterium. RNAcentral describes it as "partial 16S ribosomal RNA". It matches the Rfam family "Bacterial small subunit ribosomal RNA", at positions 28 to 507 of the family's 1533-position model. The record is from RNAcentral.
GAUGAACGCUGGCGGCGUGCCUAAUACAUGCGAGUCGAGCGAACAGAUAAGGAGCUUGCUCCUUUGACGUUAGCGGCGGACGGGUGAGUAACACGUGGGUAACCUACCUAUAAGACUGGGAUAACUUCGGGAAACCGGAGCUAAUACCGGAUAACAUUUGGAACCGCAUGGUUCUAAAGUGAAAGAUGGUUUUGCUAUCACUUAUAGAUGGACCCGCGCCGUAUUAGCUAGUUGGUAAGGUAACGGCUUACCAAGGCGACGAUACGUAGCCGACCUGAGAGGGUGAUCGGCCACACUGGAACUGAGACACGGUCCAGACUCCUACGGGAGGCAGCAGUAGGGAAUCUUCCGCAAUGGGCGAAAGCCUGACGGAGCAACGCCGCGUGAGUGAUGAAGGGUUUCGGCUCGUAAAACUCUGUUAUUAGGGAAGAACAAACGUGUAAGUAACUGUGCACGUCUUGACGGUACCUAAUCAGAAAGCCACGGCUAACUACGUG